UGGGGAAUAUUGCACAAUGGGGGAAACCCUGAUGCAGCGACGCCGCGUGAACGAAGAAGGUAUUCGUAUCGUAAAGUUCUGUCCUAUGGGAAGAUAAUGACAGUACCAUAGAAGAAAGCUCCGGCUAAAUACGUGCCAGCAGCCGCGGUAAUACGUAUGGAGCGAGCGUUGUCCGGAAUUAUUGGGCGAAAAGGGUACGCAGGCGGUUUAAUAAGUCGAAUGUUAAAGAUCGGGGCUCAACCCCGCAAAGCAUUGGAAACUGAGAAACUUGAGUAGUGGAGAGGAAAGUGGAAUUCCUAGUGUAGUGGUGAAAUACGUAGAGAUUAGGAGGAAUACCAGUAGCGAAGGCGACUUUCUGGACACAAACUGACGCUGAGGUACGAAAGCGUGGGGAGCAAACAGG
RNAcentral lists this ribosomal RNA (403 nucleotides) under bacterium. RNAcentral describes it as "partial 16S ribosomal RNA". It matches the Rfam family "Bacterial small subunit ribosomal RNA", at positions 355 to 776 of the family's 1533-position model. The record is from RNAcentral.